This 731-nucleotide ribosomal RNA is filed under the name uncultured archaeon. RNAcentral's name for it is "bacterial SSU rRNA". It matches the Rfam family "Archaeal small subunit ribosomal RNA", at positions 81 to 815 of the family's 1478-position model. The record is from RNAcentral.
GCAUACGGCUCAGUAACACGUAGUCAACAUGCCCAGGGGGCGUGGAUAACCUCGGGAAACUGAGAAUAAACCGCGAUAGGCCAAGGUUUCUGGAAUGGACCAUGGCUGAAAACCUACAUGCCCCUGGAUUGGACUGCGGCCGAUCAGGCUGUUGGUGAGGUAAUGGCCCACCAAACCUGUAACCGGUACGGGCUUUGAGAGAAGGAGCCCGGAGAUGGGCACUGAGACAAGGGCCCAGGCCCUAUGGGGCGCAGCAGGCGCGAAACCUCUGCAAUAGGCGAAAGCUUGACAGGGUUACUCUGAGUGAUGCCCGCUAAGGGCAUCUUUUGGCACCUCUAAAAAUGGUGCAGAAUAAGGGGUGGGCAAGUCUGGUGUCAGCCGCCGCGGUAAUACCAGCACCCCGAGUGGUCGGGACGAUUAUUGGGCCUAAAGCAUCCGUAGCUUGUUCUGCAAGUCCUCCGUUAAAUCCACCUGCUCAACAGAUGGGCUGCGGAGGAUACUACAGGGCUAGGAGGCGGGAGAGGCAAGCGGUACUCAGUGGGUAGGGGUAAAAUCCUCUGAUCCACUGAAGACCACCAGUGGCGAAGGCGGCUUGCCAGAACGCGCUCGACGGUGAGGGAUGAAAGCUGGGGGAGCAAACCGGAUUAGAUACCCGGGUAGUCCCAGCUGUAAACGAUGCAGACUCGGUGAUGGGUUGGCUUUGCGCCAACCCAGUGCCGCAGGGAAGCCGU